Verticillium albo-atrum is the source of this 84-nucleotide transfer RNA. It matches the Rfam family "tRNA". Rfam says of the family: Transfer RNA (tRNA) molecules are approximately 80 nucleotides in length. Their secondary structure includes four short double-helical elements and three loops (D, anti-codon, and T loops). The record is from Rfam. NCBI's taxonomy places the organism in Eukaryota, Fungi, Ascomycota, Sordariomycetes, Glomerellales, Plectosphaerellaceae.
GGGGUCGUGGCGCAGUGGUAGCGCGUCUGUUUUGCAUUCAAUCGAAUUUACAGAAGGUCCCGUGUUCAAUCCGCGGCGGCUCCA